CCAGACUCCUACGGGAGGCAGCAGUGGGGGAUAUUGCACAAUGGGGGAAACCCUGAUGCAGCGACGCCGCGUGGGCGAAGAAGUAUUUCGGUAUGUAAAGCCCUAUCAGCAGGGAAGAAGAAAUGACGGUACCUGAGUAAGAAGCACCGGCUAAAUACGUGCCAGCAGCCGCGGUAAUACGUAUGGUGCAAGCGUUAUCCGGAUUUACUGGGUGUAAAGGGAGCGCAGGCGGCACGGCAAGCCUGAUGUGAAAGCCCGCGGCCCAACCGCGGGACUGCAUUGGGAUCUACCGGGCUGGAGUGCCGGAGAGGUAGGCGGAAUUCCUAGUGUAGCGGUGAAAUGCGUAGAUAUCAGGAGGAACACCGGCGGCGAAGGCGGCCUGCUGGACCGUGACUGACGUUGAGGCUCGAGAGCGUGGGGAGCAAACAGGAUUAGAUACCCGUGUAGA
RNAcentral lists this ribosomal RNA (448 nucleotides) under uncultured bacterium. Its description in RNAcentral is "bacterial SSU rRNA". It matches the Rfam family "Bacterial small subunit ribosomal RNA", at positions 331 to 794 of the family's 1533-position model. The record is from RNAcentral.